GGGGAAUCUUGCACAAUGGGGGAAACCCUGAUGCAGCGACGCCGCGUGAGUGAUGAAGCCCUUCGGGGUGUAAAGCUCUUUCGGCAGGGACGAUAAUGACGGUACCUGCAGAAGAAGCUGCGGCUAACUACGUGCCAGCAGCCGCGGUAAUACGUAGGCAGCAAGCGCUGUUCGGAAUUACUGGGCGUAAAGAGUGCGUAGGCGGUUUGGCAAGUUUGGUGUGAAAUCUCCCGGCUUAACUGGGAGGGUGCGCCGAAAACUGUCAGGCUAGGGUGUGGGAGAGGAAAGCGGAAUUCCUGGUGUAGCGGUGAAAUGCGUAGAUAUCAGGAGGAACACCUGCGGUGUAGACGGCUUUCUGGACCACUACUGACGCUGAGGCACGAAAGCGUGGGGAGCAAAC
This 400-nucleotide ribosomal RNA is filed under the name uncultured bacterium. RNAcentral's name for it is "bacterial SSU rRNA". It matches the Rfam family "Bacterial small subunit ribosomal RNA", at positions 356 to 773 of the family's 1533-position model. The record is from RNAcentral.